AAUAUAAUUAUAUUUGUGUUCGCAGAGCAAUUAAGUUAAAUUUUCCAUUGUUAGGCAGCUUUGGAAUGUGCCAUAGACUAUGCUACUAAACGUGAGGCAUUUGGCUCAUUAAUCGUGAAGUUUCAGGCUAUUCAGAUGAAGUUGGCUGAUAUGGAGACCAGACUACAGAGUGCCAGAUUGUUGACUUGGAAAGCAGCUAUGCUAAAAGAUGCAGG
Molecule: long non-coding RNA, 215 nt
Organism: Limulus polyphemus (Atlantic horseshoe crab)
Lineage: Eukaryota; Metazoa; Arthropoda; Merostomata; Xiphosura; Limulidae
Exons: 2
Source: RefSeq, a predicted model, not a curated record